Molecule: small RNA, 330 nt
Filed under: Histoplasma capsulatum
Lineage: Eukaryota; Fungi; Ascomycota; Eurotiomycetes; Onygenales; Ajellomycetaceae
Also listed under: 1 other name
Description: hypothetical RNA
Source: RNAcentral
GUGAAGGGUUAAAAAAAAAAAAGUUAAUUCGACGUUCCUGAAGUUCACAUGUACUGUGCUAUGCAUGGUUCAUUCAGGUUCAAUACAGGCUCGCGGGCAUUGCAAACGGAAUAUAUCCACAUCUACAUCAAAUUCAACCGCGGAUAUUCUGAGAAUAUUCUCAACAACAGUCCAUUGAGGAGUGUUUCAAAUCCUGGAACAAUAAACGAGGGAUAAGGGAUAUGAGAGGACUGGGAAAGGUGCUUGUCAAACAACACGAGCAGUCAUGCAUAUAUUCAGGCACUUAUGGAUAAAAGUAGAGGGUUUAUUAUGAAUAUAUAUUUAUCUACA